UCUGAAUGGAUGGUUGUGUUCCUCAGGGC
RNAcentral lists this non-coding RNA (29 nucleotides) under Rattus norvegicus (Norway rat). The record is from RNAcentral. Lineage: Eukaryota; Metazoa; Chordata; Mammalia; Rodentia; Muridae.